Mercenaria mercenaria is the source of this 319-nucleotide long non-coding RNA. RefSeq lists it as uncharacterized. NCBI's taxonomy places the organism in Eukaryota, Metazoa, Mollusca, Bivalvia, Venerida, Veneridae. The transcript has 3 exons. The record is from RefSeq and is a predicted model, not a curated record.
GUAGUUCUAAAUCUGGAAAUCCCCACUGGAAAUCCCUAAGGAACCUGCAGUUAGUCUAUUGCUUUUUCACAGCUGUCAAUACUUUACAAGAAUAAGAGGAAAGGUUAUAAGAGUGGACAAGCACUUUUACAAGAACAUUGGUUGACGACAAUGAAGAUAUGAGUGAAGGGCCUAACCAGGUUUUUGGAGAGAAGAUGGCUAUACCAGAAGGAGGUGUAGAAGAAAUGGAUGUUUCACACCAUAGAGAUGACAGCCCAGGUUAUGUAAACCUUAAAAUGAAAGGACCAGGGAAACCAAUAAAUAUACGUUAUGAUGAGAA